Molecule: long non-coding RNA, 273 nt
Filed under: Carica papaya (papaya)
Lineage: Eukaryota; Viridiplantae; Streptophyta; Magnoliopsida; Brassicales; Caricaceae
Description: long non-coding RNA (CPAP_LNC015288)
Source: RNAcentral
AAUUAGGGACAGCCUCUAGGCGCACUGUAGAGUCGAAUUCAGACCCCGAAACAAGUAAGGACCUCUCACCCUAUUUCCUAUCACGGUAUUAAAGCUAAAUAAAUAAUUAAACUGUAUUAUGUGACUUUAUAGAUGUAUAAUUCAUUAAGGUUGCCAAUGGAGCCCGAGUCUGAUACAGUGUUGGUCUGUUAUUGUUUGAUCUAAUUUCCAGUAUUAAAUGCAGCAUGAUGUUUGAUGUAAUUAUGUUAUGGUCUCAUAUGCAUGAACUAUGGU